Molecule: long non-coding RNA, 905 nt
Organism: Erinaceus europaeus (western European hedgehog)
Lineage: Eukaryota; Metazoa; Chordata; Mammalia; Eulipotyphla; Erinaceidae
Exons: 3
Source: RefSeq, a predicted model, not a curated record
AAACAGUGUCGGUUUCUGUGCUCGAAUGGUUCCCAGUGUGGAGUGCAGCACAUCUGUUUCCUGUCACCCAUCGCCCACCAGGCACUUGGGCCAUUUGGACAUUUUCACUGCGGUGCCAAUAUCUUUUGAGGACGUGUCCGUGUACUUCACCAAGACAGAAUGGAAGCUUCUGGAUCUUAGGCAGAGGAUCCUCUACAAGUAGGUGAUGUCGGCAAACUAUCACCACCUUCUGUUGCUGGGGCUGCAUGUCGCUCAGUUCUGGAAUGGGACAGUGUGUGACUAUUUCAAGGCACCCUCAUUGCCGACGGUGGCAGGCGGCGGCGGGCGAGGCUUCUGAUAUGUCCGCCUCCUCCCUGCACUUGCUCUGUUGUCCCUCUUCAUUCCAGCCACGGGGGCUGGUCUCUCUCUCUCCAUCUUCAAGCAGAGCACCCUUCGGGAGGCUUCGCUGCACCCCGUGUCCCCACCGUUAGGUGGCCCAUCCGUCCUGGUUCUAUAAGAGCUGUAGGCCUGGGGGCCGGGUGGCAGCGCACCUGGUUGAGCGCACACGUUACAAUGUGCAAGAACAACCCAGGUUCGAGCCCCCAGUCCCCACCUGCAGGGGGGAAGCUUCAUAAGUGGCGAAACAAUGCUGCAGGUGUCUCUCUGUCUCUCACCUUCUCUAUCCCUCCCUUCCCUCUCAAUUUCUGACUGGCUCUAUCCAAUAAAUAAACAUAAUAAAAAAUUUAAAAAGAGGAGCUGUAGGCACAAGUCUUCUGUCGGCUCUGUCGGUGCCAGAUGUGUUCGACUACACUGCUUUGGCCUCUCCUAAGUGUUGUUGUUGUUGGUUUUGAUCUUGAAAAGCACACUGUUUCCUCUCACUUGAACCCAAUUCAUAGGCCUUUCGCCAAGUAGGACUGUGCCAUGUG